Molecule: non-coding RNA, 1828 nt
Organism: Kogia breviceps (pygmy sperm whale)
Lineage: Eukaryota; Metazoa; Chordata; Mammalia; Artiodactyla; Physeteridae
Source: RefSeq, a predicted model, not a curated record
AAUGUUUUAUUCCGUAAAGCAUGUGACUAAAUAGUUAAGUAAUAGAUAAGUAUUAUUAGAAAAAUCAGUUAAACAGUUGGUAAAAAAUUAAGUUAGCUCUCAUUCUUUGCCAUAUACAAAAGUAAAUAACAGAUUAAAUGUAAAGACGUAAAUCUGAGCCAGGAUUAAAUAAUCUGAAGUUGUGAAAAGAUUUUCCACACAAGAUUCCAAAAGUUGAAAUCAUGAUGAAAAAGAUUCGUCAACUUGGAUAAAUGAAAAUGACUUACCUUGUCAAUAAACAUCACAGAAAUUGAAAAAAGAAAAGAAUGCAGAAACUUUUUGCAUCUUAUAGAAAACUUUAAAUAUUAAUACGAAAGAAUGAACCGCCCCAAAGACAAGGAGUCAAUAUUCAAAGAAAGAAAGACAAAGGAAAAAAUGGGCAACACCCUAAUAAACAAAGAAAGCAAACUAAAACAGCAGUUUGUUUGACUGCCUUAUCAUUAUAUAUCUAAAGAAAAUAAAAAUGAUAUUUUCUUUCUAAGGUGAAGAAGCACCAAAAUGCUAUGGAUUUUUUGCCUGCUGAAUUGGUAUUGGUUAAGAAGACUCAUACCACUGUUGGGGAGAAUGUGGGAAAGUGGGCCCUCCCAAGCACUGUUGGAGAGAGAAAUUUGUGUGAUCAUUACAGGAAGUAAUCUGCAUAAAACUUGAAAUAUGCACAUCCUUUAAAUAAAACAAAUCCACACCUGUCUGUAUUAGUUAAAUGUUCGGAAUAUGUGAUUUUCUAAUAAAAAAUAAAGAAGAAAAGAUUUGCAGGCAAACCCCAGCAAUGGAAACUUGGGGAAGUAAAUUAUUAUCUCUGAUAUUUGGUGUUCUCACCUAGAAAAACUCCUGUGAUUACUUUGAGCCACCUCAAUCAUCCAGCAUGACCCCCCCAUCCCAAGAUCUUCAUCACAUCUGCAAAGUCUCUUUUGCCAUUGAUAUUACAGAGGCUGCAAUGUGGUAAUCAAAGCAGUACACCAGCCACCGGAAGUCAAAACUGCUCGCCAGGACACAGCAGAAAGGCAGGAGGAAAGGGCACAGCGGGUGAAAGGGCUUCUGAGGAAGGCUUCCACGGUGGAGAGGAGGUGGGGGGGCUCGCUGGCCGAGAGCUUCUGUAGUGCACCGUUCCCACAGGCCAAGCCAGUAGAAAAGCCUGCCAUGAAAGCUCCCAUUGGCUGAGAACAUGGGACAACAGAGCCCCAGAAGAAUCACACAGUAAUCGUACUCAACAAAUCACGCACUAAGGAUGGCAUUAAAUGGUGUCUGUGUGUAUGUAUGUAGUGCAUUCAGCAGGUAGUUCUUGAACUUGGAUAAAAAAGGAAACAACAGCAUGUCACAGCCAUAGGACACCGGCCCUGGCAGCUCACUCCACUAACUCCCCUACAUUUCAUUCCAAGCUCACAAAACAGCUUCUUUUUAUUAUCUGGCUUCUAAUGGGCAUUUCUCCCUGACCAGUGAACACACUUAAUGAUUCACUUUCUUCCCACUAACCUAUUAAGCCAGCAUUAUAUGUCUUAUGCAUCAGGCCUUUGGUUAUCAUGGGUCUUUCUCUAAAAGACUGGCCUGGGUAUAUUAGCAGAUGAACUCUGCAACCAGCAAAGAUGGCAACCACACGCCUCAAUGUGGUGAUCACACCAAGGUUCUAAUCCCCAUGAAGCCCUGUCUCAGCAACCUCAGGCCUUCCUGGAUAACACUGCUAUGCUGAUGUGUCCUGAUCCCAAACCAGCAUUAUCCUAAGCUCUUUACAGUUGCAUCCAUCAGGAUAGGCUAGGUUAUGCUGCAGCAAGACUCUCCCCAGAUUCCGGUGGCU